Molecule: long non-coding RNA, 1049 nt
Filed under: Zea mays
Lineage: Eukaryota; Viridiplantae; Streptophyta; Magnoliopsida; Poales; Poaceae
Description: long non-coding RNA (ZMAY_LNC005347)
Source: RNAcentral
CUCUCUCUAGGUUUGGAGGACGCCCCUCUCACUCCUCCACCCAUUUGCAGCCGCCACCCCACCUCCCCCAUCAAACCCUAGCCACCCCCUCCUCAAGCCCUUCUCUCCAAGGUGCCAUUCCUUUCCCGCUCGGAUCUAUGUCGCGUUGGUGCAUGUCUCCAAUUGGAUUUUGGUGGAGAGAAGAAGAAGGGAGGAAAGGGGGAGGAUUCAAGGUGAUUUUGAGAUUUGUAUCUUGUUUAAUUGUGUUGUAAUCCAAUUGAUUAUAUGUUUACCUAUCCGAAUCGGUAGAGGUGCUGUCCUGAAAUUUUGUGUGUGGGCGAACAGCAGUAGUUCUAGGGAUUUCUGGGAAUUUUUCGUGGGUAAUUAGUGGGGAUCAGUGGGUGAAUCAUGUAGAGCUUUGUCAUACCUUUCCAACGGGUACUUAUGCGCUUGAUUCGGAGUUAUAAUUUAGGAGAUAUCGUUGUUUGAAUCCGGUUAUGUUGCUGUCCAAAAAAACAGAUUUUCAGGUGGGUGAACAGCAGUAGUAUUAGCAGUUUCUGGGCAUUUUUCGUGGGUAAUUAGUGUUAACCAGUAUGAUAAUAAUGUAGGGCUUUGUCUUAUCUUUCCAAUGAGUACUUAUGCGCUUGAUUUGGAAUUAUAUUUUAAAAGAUAUCGCUGUUUGAAUCCGGGUAUGUCGCUGUCCAAAAGACAAAAAAAACAGAUUACAGGGUUCAUCUUGUGGACUGUUUUGGGCUAAUUAGAUCUUGGAAUUUAAUUAUAAAUUAUGUACAAAACUUGUGGGGAAUUUUAUGUAGAUGCCUCUGGAGUUUUUGUUUGUUACCACGGCUGUCAUAAUUUUAAAGUUAUGAAAUUAUUAAGCAGUCCCGCUGCAGUUUGGUGGGUGUGGGGAGAGAUGUAACCCGCGGCGGGGUUUGAGUUUGCGCGUAGGUGCGGCGUCGCUUAUGAGCCUGAUUAUGUGAAAUUGGUGCACUAAGUUGUGUGUCAAAAACAGGUGGUGGACUUCCGGAUCGUACUUAGGGAUUUGCCCGAACUUCCGGUAAAGGCAAGUA